Molecule: transfer RNA, 84 nt
Filed under: Bacteroidota bacterium
Lineage: Bacteria; Pseudomonadati; Bacteroidota
Description: tRNA-Leu
Source: RNAcentral
GCCCGAGUGGUGAAAUUGGUAGACACGCGGUGUUCAGGGCGCCGUAUUCGUGAGGAUGUGGGAGUUCGAGUCUCCCCUCGGGCA